GUCUACCGCCGUGGCGCGUUGAUACACCCAAUCCCUUGAUCUUAGAAGUUAAGCAACGUGCAGUCCGGUGAGUACUUGGAUGGGAGACCACCAAAGAAUCUUAAAAAUGGUACAUG
Molecule: ribosomal RNA, 116 nt
Filed under: Branchiostoma floridae (Florida lancelet)
Lineage: Eukaryota; Metazoa; Chordata; Leptocardii; Amphioxiformes; Branchiostomatidae
Source: RNAcentral